This 497-nucleotide ribosomal RNA is filed under the name uncultured bacterium. RNAcentral describes it as "partial 16S ribosomal RNA". It matches the Rfam family "Bacterial small subunit ribosomal RNA", at positions 28 to 507 of the family's 1533-position model. The record is from RNAcentral.
GAUGAACGCUGGCGGCGUGCCUAAUACAUGCAAGUCGAGCGAACGGACGAGAAGCUUGCUUUUCUGAUGUUAGCGGCGGACGGGUGAGUAACACGUGGAUAACCUACCUAUAAGACUGGGAUAACUUCGGGAAACCGGAGCUAAUACCGGAUAAUAUUUUGAACCGCAUGCUUCAAAAGUGAAAGACGGUCUUGCUGUCACUUAUAGAUGGAUCCGCGCUGCAUUAGCUAGUUGGUAAGGUAACGGCUUACCAAGGCAACGAUGCAUAGCCGACCUGAGAGGGUGAUCGGCCACACUGGAACUGAGACACGGUCCAGACUCCUACGGGAGGCAGCAGUAGGGAAUCUUCCGCAAUGGGCGAAAGCCUGACGGAGCAACGCCGCGUGAGUGAUGAAGGUCUUCGGAUCGUAAAACUCUGUUAUUAGGGAAGAACAUAUGUGUAAGUAACUGUGCACAUCUUGACGGUACCUAAUCAGAAAGCCACGGCUAACUACGUG